RNAcentral lists this non-coding RNA (29 nucleotides) under Rattus norvegicus (Norway rat). Lineage: Eukaryota; Metazoa; Chordata; Mammalia; Rodentia; Muridae. The record is from RNAcentral.
UCCUGAAGGAACUAGCUAUAUUUCCACAC